This 103-nucleotide transfer RNA is filed under the name Archangium violaceum. Its description in RNAcentral is "tRNA-OTHER". The record is from RNAcentral. Lineage: Bacteria; Pseudomonadati; Myxococcota; Myxococcia; Myxococcales; Archangiaceae.
GGACGGCGUAAGCGGCUGGAACUCCUACGAAAACCGCUCUCGACCGUUCUGGAGCGCUCUGGCCGGAAGCCUCGGGACGCGGGUUCGAUUCCCGCCGCCUCCA